Molecule: ribosomal RNA, 487 nt
Filed under: Escherichia coli
Lineage: Bacteria; Pseudomonadati; Pseudomonadota; Gammaproteobacteria; Enterobacterales; Enterobacteriaceae
Description: bacterial SSU rRNA
Rfam family: Bacterial small subunit ribosomal RNA
Source: RNAcentral
CAGGUGCUGCAUGGCUGUCGUCAGCUCGUGUUGUGAAAUGUUGGGUUAAGUCCCGCAACGAGCGCAACCCUUAUCCUUUGUUGCCAGCGGUCCGGCCGGGAACUCAAAGGAGACUGCCAGUGAUAAACUGGAGGAAGGUGGGGAUGACGUCAAGUCAUCAUGGCCCUUACGACCAGGGCUACACACGUGCUACAAUGGCGCAUACAAAGAGAAGCGACCUCGCGAGAGCAAGCGGACCUCAUAAAGUGCGUCGUAGUCCGGAUUGGAGUCUGCAACUCGACUCCAUGAAGUCGGAAUCGCUAGUAAUCGUGGAUCAGAAUGCCACGGUGAAUACGUUCCCGGGCCUUGUACACACCGCCCGUCACACCAUGGGAGUGAGUUGCAAAAGAAGUAGGUAGCUUAACCUUCGGGAGGGCGCUUACCACUUUGUGAUUCAUGACUGGGGUGAAGUCGUAACAAGGUAACCGUAGGGGAACCUGCGGUUGGA